ACUCCUACGGGAGGCAGCAGUGAGGAAUAUUGGACAAUGGGCGAGAGCCUGAUCCAGCCAUGCCGCGUGCAGGAAGACUGCCUUAUGGGUCGUAAACUGCUUUUACAGAGGAAGAACCACUCCCACGUGUGGGAGUUUGACGGUACUCUGCGAAUAAGGAUCGGCUAACUCCGUGCCAGCAGCCGCGGUAAUACGGAGGAUCCAAGCGUUAUCCGGAAUCAUUGGGUUUAAAGGGUCCGUAGGCGGGCAGUUAAGUCAGUGGUGAAAGUCUUCCGCUCAACGGGAGAACUGCCAUUGAUACUGAUUGUCUUGAGUUAUUAUGAAGUGGUUAGAAUGAGUAGUGUAGCGGUGAAAUGCAUAGAUAUUACUCAGAAUACCGAUUGCGAAGGCAGAUCACUAAUAAUAUACUGACGCUGAUGGACGAAAGCGUAGGUAGCGAACAGGAUUAGAUACCCUGGUAGUCUACGCCGUAAACGAUGGUUACUAGCUGUUCGGCCCGAUUAAGGGCUGAGUGGUUAAGCGAAAGUGAUAAGUAACCCACCUGGGGAGUACGUUCGCAAGAAUGAAACUGAAAGGAAUUGACGG
This 585-nucleotide ribosomal RNA is filed under the name uncultured bacterium. Its description in RNAcentral is "bacterial SSU rRNA". It matches the Rfam family "Bacterial small subunit ribosomal RNA", at positions 335 to 916 of the family's 1533-position model. The record is from RNAcentral.